ACAGGUAGGGCUUCCCCGAGCGGGGGCUGUCCGGUCGUACGCAGCGCCUGCGCACCCGACGCAUUUGUCUCUCGUCCGAAGGACGCCGCAGCCGGCUGGGUAGUGCAAGCGCGACGACCUGAGGGGCGGAAGAUGGCAGGUGGCCGCUGGCGUGCCUCGUGCGCGUCGGCGGUUGUUAGCCGUUCCGUCAGUGGUCCGUCACCCGGCCGAGGUGUCGCGAGGCCCUUCGGGGCCUCAUCGUCUCCUCCUCGUGUCGCGGGUCAGAGCGUAGCAGGUGGAAUCCGUCGUCCCGUUCGCACCCCUCCGGGGUGGUCGGGCGAACGGAGGCCUCCGUUGGUUGCGCCGGACCCGUUGGAGGCUGGAGGCUUGCGGCGAGUAGGUCGGUCACCCACCCGACCCGUCUUGAAACACGGACCAAA
This 419-nucleotide ribosomal RNA is filed under the name Coras lamellosus. RNAcentral describes it as "partial 28S ribosomal RNA". The record is from RNAcentral. Lineage: Eukaryota; Metazoa; Arthropoda; Arachnida; Araneae; Agelenidae.